GGGGGUGAAUAUUUUUUUAGUAAAUUUUUGACAUAUUAUUGCUCCAUGAAUUGAUUUUGAUGAUUACAAAAUAUUUGAGGAGGUUACUAAUGAUUUUGGCUUGAAAAAAGAUUUAUUGUAUUUCAGGAGCAAAAUCAUAAUUUUAUCAAGUUCUGAUUCGAAAGCCUCAAGAGCAAGAACAAAAGAUUUGUGAUCUAUUG
Molecule: long non-coding RNA, 200 nt
Filed under: Elaeis guineensis (African oil palm)
Lineage: Eukaryota; Viridiplantae; Streptophyta; Magnoliopsida; Arecales; Arecaceae
Description: long non-coding RNA (EGUI_LNC040585)
Source: RNAcentral